GUUUAAGUAGCUUAAGUUUUAAAGCAUGACUUUGAAGAGGUUAUUAUGAUAUUUUCCUUAAACA
This 64-nucleotide transfer RNA is filed under the name Falcolipeurus marginalis. RNAcentral describes it as "tRNA-Phe". Lineage: Eukaryota; Metazoa; Arthropoda; Insecta; Psocodea; Philopteridae. The record is from RNAcentral.